UUUCUUAGAUGUUAUUUGGAUGAUCAGAUUGCUCAACUCCAUUAUAAUUUGUUUCCAAACUAAUCUGUUCAGGCAAGAUAAAGAUAUAAAUGUGGAUUGUUGCUGAGGUUAAGUCUGGUCAGAUUUUUCCACUUAUGCUUGAAAAGUAACCAUAUUUCAAUCGAAUAUAUAAUACGUAUAUUUCAUAAUAAUAUAAGCCAUAUUAGUCUCAUUAUUAAUUCAAAAAUUUCAUCUAUAUUUCAACACUGUAGAACAUUAUUAAAGGAAUAAAUGACCUAUAAAUAUUUGCUGCCUGAAGAAGUCACUUUGCUAUUAAUUAUAGGAAUAGAGUAUGGAAAUUUAUACUUUUAAAUUUUUCUCUAAACUUUGUCUCAUUUAUUAUUGUAUUUGGUAAAUGAGUUUCCACAGGCUCAGGGAGAUGAAUUAUUGUCUUAGAAUAAAUUUGUAUGAAUGCUGAGCCUACACCCAGGUAACCUAAUUCCUAAUAGGUUAUAUGCCAUGUAUCAGGAAAGGUAUUGCCUGUUUAUAUGAUGGACAUGUUAUAAAAGUUUUGAAAGUUUGAAUGUAAUAAUUUAUAAUAAAGUUUAAAGGGCUUGUCUCUGAAUAGAGUCUCAUUUUUUCAUUUAUUUCUUUUGUCUAGUUAUCUGUUGUCUUCUGGCAUUUUGUAUUGGCCUGAUAUUUGUGCAACGCUCUGGAAAUUACUUUGUUACAAUGUUUGAUGAUUAUUCUGCUACACUGCCUCUGCUAAUUGUAGUCAUUUUGGAGAAUAUUGCUGUAUGCUUUGUUUAUGGCAUAGAUAAGUUUAUGGAAGACCUAAAAGAUAUGCUGGGCUUUGCUCCCAGCAGAUAUUACUACUAUAUGUGGAAAUAUGUUUCUCCUCUAAUGCUAUUAUCAUUGCUAAUAGCUAGUGUUGUGAAUAUGGGAUUAAGUCCUCCUGGCUAUAAUGCAUGGAUUGAAGAUAAGGCAUCUGAAGAAUUUCUGAGCUAUCCAACGUGGGGACUGGUUGUUUGUGUCUCUCUGGUUGUCUUUGCAAUACUCCCGGUCCCUGUAGUCUUCAUUGUUCGUCGCUUCAACCUUAUAGAUGAUAGUUCUGGUAAUUUAGCAUCUGUGACCUAUAAGAGAGGAAGGGUCCUGAACGAGCCUGUGAACUUAGAGGGCGAUGAUACAAGCCUCAUUCAUGGAAAAAUAUCAAGCGAGAUGCCAUCUCCAAAUUUUGGUAAAAAUAUUUAUCGAAAACAGAGUGGAUCCCCAACUCUGGAUACUGCUCCCAAUGGACGGUACGGAAUAGGGUACUUGAUGGCAGAUAUUAUGCCAGAUAUGCCAGAAUCUGAUUUGUAGCUGGGGGAAAAGUCAGUGGGUUUUAUUUG
RNAcentral lists this small RNA (1367 nucleotides) under Pongo abelii (Sumatran orangutan). RNAcentral describes it as "retained intron". The record is from RNAcentral. Lineage: Eukaryota; Metazoa; Chordata; Mammalia; Primates; Hominidae.